AGCAGCUUAGUCGACGGCCCGGCGGCGGCAAGCUAGCGCUCUGUCAAAGCUAACAUAGGCGUUCGCUCCCUUAGCCGUUU
RNAcentral lists this transfer RNA (80 nucleotides) under Botrimarina colliarenosi. RNAcentral describes it as "Planctomycetes bacterium Pla108 tRNA-Ala". The record is from RNAcentral. Lineage: Bacteria; Pseudomonadati; Planctomycetota; Planctomycetia; Pirellulales; Lacipirellulaceae.